This 256-nucleotide small RNA is filed under the name Pseudomonas knackmussii B13. Its description in RNAcentral is "Pseudomonas sRNA P24". It matches the Rfam family "Pseudomonas sRNA P24". From Rfam's summary of the family: P24 is conserved across several Pseudomonas species and in Azotobacter vinelandii. It appears to be consistently located between a hypothetical protein gene and a transcriptional regulator gene (AsnC family) in the genomes of all these species. The record is from Rfam by way of RNAcentral. Lineage: Bacteria; Pseudomonadati; Pseudomonadota; Gammaproteobacteria; Pseudomonadales; Pseudomonadaceae.
UUGCGCAAUAGCCUUGUAUGUGAGCAAUCUUCGCAAUCCUCCUGCAGCGUUGGGCCCGUAAGAUCUCUCCCAAGAAUCACGGCCCGGACAGCACGUCCACGGCGAUCCACCCAAUCAGGCGGAUCGCGGCCCGCCGACCCCACAGGGGCGCCCCCGCCACCGGGCUACGCACUACCCAGAAGGUGGAGCGAGGUGAGCCGGCGCCAACAGCGACGAGCCAGGACGAGUUUCCCGAAGGGAGGUCAAUGACCUCCCU